UUUCUAAAUUAUGGCUUCUCAGCCAUUUAUUCUUUGCUCUUCGGUUCUCUCCUCUUUCACUCAAAAUCUUAAAAUCAAAAUAAAAGUGAAAUUCACUGAGAGAAGAUCAGAAGAAAUAGAUAGAAGAGAGAGCAUCUCCUCUUGAGCUAUGAGAUCUAUCAUCGAUGGCGAGCGAUGACCCUCUCUCACUCGCUAGAGAUUUCUAGUAAAUCUGACUCUCCUUCACCAAACUAAAUCCCACUCUCUCUCACUGUAUCGAAUCCUGCUUCCUCCCCCGAUUCUUCAUCUUCUGCCGCCUCCAUUUUUCCCAUCUCAAGAUCUGCAUCUUCUUAAACCCAUGCCUUUGAUUUCCUUUAGGUGUUUUGUAAUUUUUCUCUAGAUACUUCUAUUUUCCUUUGUUUGUCACUUAUAUCUCUUUGGAUUCUGUCUUUUGAAGAACACAUUCAACAAUGAAAGCAGAGGUUUCAUCCGUUUCUAUGGUCUUAAGAUCUAAAAGGACUUGUUUCGCCAAAACAGUUUUGGUGUUGAAGUGUUUGGGUGUUUUUAUAUAAAAAGACAAAUCACCAUCUUUCAUAGAUCGCUGAAACAACAUUGAAAGUUUUUAUGAAACCCUUAUCUGAUUCAGUAGUUUUGUUCAGGUUUUGAGUGGAUUUUUCUGUUUUAUUGGUAUUACAUUUUUUCAUAGUUCGAUCUGCAAAUCUGUUUUACAGUUUGAUAUUUUUGACUACUAGUAGAACCCCGUGAAAGGUGAACACUUUUUAGGGAACACAAUCUUGGAAGUAAAAGUGGCUACACCAAAGGAAGAGAUGAGAUAACCUGUAAAAAAGUGAUGAGGAUUUUUAUUGCUCUAAUCCCUUCAUCAGUCUCUGAAUUAGAUUUCAAAGAUUUAAUGGAGGAUCUGAUUGCACACUCAUGAUCUGGGAGGUACAACAGUUGCUGUUGAGUGGAAGUUGUGACUGCAUCCAAAUUUAUCUUCUAAUUAUAUACUUGUGUAUAUUUGUGAUUUAGGUUUUUUGUAAUACUUUGGCCUUUGUAAUACUUUGAAUAUCAAUAAAUGUCUUUUUUUUUGCC
Long non-coding RNA from Eutrema salsugineum, 1071 nucleotides. RefSeq lists it as uncharacterized. Lineage: Eukaryota; Viridiplantae; Streptophyta; Magnoliopsida; Brassicales; Brassicaceae. The transcript is spliced from 4 exons. The record is from RefSeq and is a predicted model, not a curated record.